GCAGUCGAGCGGAUUGAUGGGAGCUUGCUCCCUGAUAUCAGCGGCGGACGGGUGAGUAACACGUGGGUAACCUGCCUGUAAGACUGGGAUAACUCCGGGAAACCGGGGCUAAUACCGGAUAACUCAUUUCCUCGCAUGAGGAAAUGUUGAAAGGUGGCUUUUAGCUACCACUUACAGAUGGACCCGCGGCGCAUUACCUAGUUGGUGAGGUAACGGCUCACCAAGGCAACAAUGCGUACCCAACCUGAGAGGGUGAUCGGCCACACUGGGACUGAAACACGGCCCAAACUCCUACGGGAGGCAGCAGUAGGGAAUCUUCCGCAAUGGACAAAAGUCUGACGGACCAACGCCGCGUGAGUGAUGAAGGUUUUCG
Molecule: ribosomal RNA, 373 nt
Filed under: Rossellomorea vietnamensis
Lineage: Bacteria; Bacillati; Bacillota; Bacilli; Caryophanales; Bacillaceae
Description: bacterial SSU rRNA
Rfam family: Bacterial small subunit ribosomal RNA
Source: RNAcentral